UACAGAGGGUGCAAACGUUGUUCGGAAUCACUGGGCGUAAGCGGGUGUAGGCGGCCUUGCAAGUCGGGUGUGAAAUCCCAAGGCUCAACCUUGGACGUGCACUCGAAACUGCUCGGCUAGAGUCCUGGAGAGGAAGGUGGAAUGCUUGGUGUAGAGGUGAAAUUCGUAGAUAUCAAGCGGAACACCGGUGGCGAAGGCGGCCUUCUGGACAGUGACUGACGCUGAGACCCGAAAGCGUGGGGAGCAAACAGG
RNAcentral lists this ribosomal RNA (252 nucleotides) under uncultured bacterium. RNAcentral describes it as "partial 16S ribosomal RNA". It matches the Rfam family "Bacterial small subunit ribosomal RNA", at positions 524 to 776 of the family's 1533-position model. The record is from RNAcentral.